Non-coding RNA from Phascolarctos cinereus (koala), 8134 nucleotides. NCBI's taxonomy places the organism in Eukaryota, Metazoa, Chordata, Mammalia, Diprotodontia, Phascolarctidae. The record is from RefSeq and is a predicted model, not a curated record.
GGCUGAAUACAGGGAGAAUUUUUGCAAGGAAUUGAAGUUCACUAGUCUAUAUUUUGCAAGUAGAACUUUCUUCUCUACGAAAAUCAGAACAUUUGCCCCUCUCUAGUCCCGUGGCUCAUUUCUCCCUCGUAGUCUUUGUUUUCUGGCAGGAAAAGGGAGAAGGAAAGUAGGGAAGAUUUAUUUUUGAAAUAAAUUUUAUUGAUAUCUUUUUUUAAACAUCAUCUAAAUUUCCCCCUGUAUCUCCUCUGUCCCCAGAGAUCCAUCCAUAUAAGAGAUUUUUUUUAAGUAGAAGAGAAAAAAGUCAGAAAAACUGAUCAAUACAUUGAAAAACAUCUUAAAACAUCUAUACAAUGUUCCACACCCACGGACCCCCACUUUUGCAAAUGAGUGGGACCAAACUUGCUCUCUGUAACUUUGCAACAUUCACUCCUGGUUCUUUCGUGGUGGCUCUUCUUUCCAUUUACAUUGUUGUACUCAUCACAUACAUUGUUUUGUGUGGUCUGAUUUCUUCACUUUGCUUCAGUUCAUAUAAAUCUUUCUGUGUUGCUCUGUAUUAAUUAUAUUUGUUAUUUCUUACAGCACAAUAAUAGUCUAUUACAUUCACAUACCACAAUUCAACCAUUCUCCCAUAGAGAGGCAUCUACUUCGUUUCUAGCUCUUUGCUAAAACAAAAAGUGCUGCAAUUAAUAUUUUGAUGCACACAAGGCCUUUCUUUUUAUCAGUGACUUGCUUGAGGUCCAUACCUAGUAAUGGAAUCUCUGGGUCUGAGGGUAGGGACAUUAUAGCCAUUUUAUUUUCCUGAUACCAAACUGCUUCCCAAAAUGAUUGUACUAAUUCACAGCUCUAUCAACGAUGCAUUAGUAAUGCUAUGUUUUCACAACCCUUCUAACAUCUACUAUUCUUGUCUUUUGUCAUCCUUGCCCACUUAUUGCGUGUGAACACUGGAAUCUCAGGGCUGCUCUGAUUUCCGUUCCUCUUACUUGCAGCUGGCUUCAUUCUUCCAGAGUUGUUAGUCGUUUGUAAUUCUUGUGAAGACUGCAUCCUCUGGCCACUUGUGUAGUCCACAUAUUUGCUCUUAAAUAUUUCUUAGCUGUCUAUACAUGUUGGAUGCCUAAUCCUUAAAAGAGAAAUAUGAUACAAAUAGUUUCCCAUUUGACCAUUUCCCUUCUUAUCCUGCAUUAAUUUUAUGCAGAAACGUUUCAACUUUAAGUAAUCAAUUUAUUUUAACUUUUGUAGUUGCCUCUAGCCCUUGUUUGGUGAAGGCUACAUCUCCUCCCCAAAGAUGUGAGAAGUAUAUGAUUGGCUUUUCCUCUAGCCUUCAUGAUAGUUUAAUGGCUGCCAACUUGAGCAGUCCCACCCACCAGUUCCCUCCUUAACUUAGGAUGGAAUGAACCUGGUCCUCUUAAUCCUACUGCCUUUCCCCGGUUGAUUAUUUCCCAUUAAUCCUGUAUAUAGCUUGUUUGUACAUAUUCGUUUGCAUGUUGUCUCCCUCCUCCUGGAGAGCAGAGCCAGCCUUUGCCUUUCUUUGUAUCGCUAGGGCUUAGCACAGCACCUGGAAUAUGGCAGGUGUUUAAUAAUGAUUACUGACUGAAAAAGAGAGUGAACUGAACUCAUCAAGGGGAGCUAGGUGCUCUCCAUUUUCCUGUUUAAAAAUAAAAGGUGUAAGUAUUUAAAGAAAACGCAAGGUGCAAGACUUAGCUGGGCCAUGGAGAAUCAGCAAAGUGGACAAAGAGGAACGAGGAAGACUGUCAGCGAAGAGACACUAAUGGAUAUGUGUGUGUGUGCGUGAGCACGCAUGCAUGCACGCACAUGUGAUAGAGAGGGGGAAAGGGAGACUGAGUCGGGGGAGGAGAGGACAGGGAGAGAUAUGUGGGACAGAAGCCACAGAGAAUGGGAGAAAUGUCAGAAGGACAGGAAUAAGCAAAUACUGUUCCAAUUUAAAAAAAAAGAUGAAAAGGAAGAUUUAGGAAUCUACCAACAAAUGAGUUUCGAGAACAUUUAGGAAAGAAAACGGUAAUCACCAGGUACUAGCAUGGGUUCACUAAGAACAAACAGUCUCAUUUCCUUUUUCAUAAAAACUAACAGACCACUAGUUUUGCCUUCUGAGGCCACACAAAAUAAGUCUAAGCCCUUUUUCCACAUCACAACCCUUUUAAAUACUUGACGACAAUUCUCAUGCCCUCAUCACCUUCUGCUCUAAGUCAUAAGGAAAACUCUUCUAUUUUUUGGAUAAACUGUGUUAGAAUGUUGAAUGUAUCAUGUGUUGUGAUUUUAGUAUCUGCCUGUGCUGAAUUGAACUAAAUUAUAGUAAUAUUAUGUGCAGAGGCAGUAUGUACUGCAUGCCUGAAAUUCACUUCCUCCUCAUAGAAUCCAUCUCUCCUUUCAAGAUGCAGCUUUAACAUCACCUUUACAAGCCUCUCCCUUCUUGAUCUUACCUCCCCCCUACUCCUAAGCUUGUGCACUCUCUCUCAAACUAUCUCGAAUUUAUUCUCUGCAUGUACUUACAUAUGUACUUAUUUUUUUCACAUGUUAGAAAGUAAAUUCCUUGAGAGUAGAGAUUGUUUCAUUCUUAUAUUUUCAUCCCCAGUCUAGCAGAAUGCCUGGCACAGAGUAGAUGUUUAAUAUUUGUUGACUGACAAAUAGGAAGAUAAAAGUUUAUCUUCAUCCCCAUUAAGUCUUGCACAAAAUGAUGAAGUUACAAAAAAAAAAACCUCUCAAGUAAGAGAUACAGAGAGACCUGCCUACUUGCGUUCAUGUGAAAAAGGGCUGGGGUUUUAACUGUCUACAAGCUCAAUCUGAGUCAAUACUGAUAGGUUUGCUCAAACAGCUAAUGCAGUCCUAGGCUGCAGUAACAGUUGACUAACAGUCUCAUGGUAUUCUGUGUUAGUCUAACUACAUCUGGAGUAUUGCAUUUAGAUCUGGGUACCACAUUUUAAUGAUACUGACAACUGGAAAAGAUUAAAAAUCAUGUCACAUCUCUGAAUAUUCAGAGUUUGCCCACCCUUCAAGGUCCAAUUCAAGUUUUGAUGCUGCUGUGCUUUUUCUGGAUUCAUAUUUACUCCUUACCCAUGAAAAUACAAACUAGGAUGGAUCUGUGGGCUUAUGGAUAAGGAUGUUCCCUGUGACACAAAUCACAGCCCACCCCUGCCUGUCCCUCCAGUACAAUCCUUGUAGGCUAUCCUGUGUCAUCCAUCAGCUCACCAGCAGGGAAGGGAGACAGUGUUACCCAAGAUGCUGCUGGGAGCCUCCUUUCUUUUUCUUGACACUGCAAGGAAACCAGGUAUGUAUAGGUUGACCAGUGGUUAUCUCUACUUGAAGUCAUAUAAUGGUUGAAGAACCCCAGGUCUAUUUAGCCUAGAGAGGAGAUGACACGGGGCUCAGGAGGCACAAGAAUGAGGAUCGAGAGAAGAGGUGAUUUAUAGAGUAAUUUAAUAUUGCAAAGUGCCUUAUGUGAUCUCAUUGACUGAAAAGCUACACUAUUCAGAUAUUAUCAUCUCCAUUUUAUAGAUGGGGCAGUGUGGCUUAGUGGAAAGAAUGCUGCAUUUGGAGCCAGACAACUUCUGUUCCAAUCUCACCUCUGUGAUCAUGGGCUAGUCACAUAAAAUGUGUGGGUCUCAAUUUCCAUCUCUGCAGAGACAGCAUUGGACCAGAUGGCCCCCAGGGUUCUUUCCAGCUCUACUAAUUCUAUAAGGAAACCAAGGCUUAAAAAGAUAGUGACUUUGCUAUGAUGACACAACUAGCAUGAGCCCAAGACAAGAUGAAAAUCAGGGUCUUCCUGAAUCCAAGUCCAGAGCUCUGUUCACUCUGCUAGGCUAUACUCUCUCUCCUCAUCAACAGCUUCAAGUAUUUAAAGGGUUGUUACCUGGAAAAGACAAAGGCUUUUCCCUCUUGGCCAGGUGGCACACUGAAUAGAGCACUGCACUUGGAGUCAGAAGACCUGAGUUUGAAUCCUACUCCAAAUACUUGUAGGCUAGGUGACCAUGAAUCAAGCCCCUAGACCACUUUCAGCACUUUCCUUAUCUGUGAAAUUCAAAUAAUAAUAGUAGCAGCCUCCAAGGGUGGUUGUGAGGUUCAAAUGAGAGAACUUACGUGAAGGGUUUGGCAAACCUUGAAGAGCGAUACAAAGACUAACUACAGUCAUCUCCAGGGGGCUCUUCCUUCUUCUACUAGGAUUAAAUGGAUGGAAGUCACGGGGAGGCAAAUGUAUGCUCAAUAUCCAGAGAAACAUUCCAAUAGCUGGAAUCACACAAAAGUGGAAUAGAAUUCUUUGUGACUUAGGGGGAUGAUGGUAACCCCUUUCAGGUAUUUGAGGACCUUCAUCUGGAAGAGGGAUGCCAUUUGUUCUCCUUGCACUAGAGGAUAACAUUAGAAGCAAUAAUUAGCAGUGGAAACAGUUAGAUUUAGGCCUGGUGGAAAGAAAAAAUUCUUAACAAAGAUAUCCAAAAAUAGAAUGGUUGCCUCAGGAGGUAAUGGGUUCCCCCUUAUUGGAGGUCUUCCAGUAGAAGCAGGAUGGCCACUUACUGGGGAUAUGGAGAGGGGAUUCUGUUUCAGGGGCAAAAUCAGACUAGACAGCAAUCAUGCUUCCAGCCAUGAGAUUCUAUGAAGUAGUAAGCUCUCCAUCAUGGAGAGAAUUCAAGGAAAAGAUACAUGCUCCUGUAUCAGUGGGGAGUUAGACAAGGUCCAUCAAGGUUCCUUCCACCAUGGAAAUCCAAUGAAUCUCCUAGGAGGCAGGGUGCUUGACUAUUUUUCUCCUUGGCGAAAAAAAGUAUAAAUCUCCCUAUUUAACCUUUAUUGAUAGAUAGAUGGCUAGAUAGAUGCUAAGACAGAUAAAAUAAUUAAAUGAAUGAAUUCUUAGUCCCAAUGCUUAAUGUUUGAGUCUUAAUUAUUAAUGGUUAACAACAUGGAAGAAGACAUUCCCUUCCAUGGUACUAAGAAACACGUGAAAAAUUCACCUUCACAGAUGAUGUCAAGUUUCAUUUUGCUGGCUAUUUUGUCUUAGUCCUGGCAAAUGCCUGUCACUGGUUAGAUGUUUGACUGGUUAGUACCAUUUUCUAGCAGUCUAACCCUGGUUCUUAUCUAAUCAAUGCUUGCUGAAUUAAAUUGAAUAGAAAACAUGCUUGGAAAUUGUCUUGAUAGCUGCCUGUGUUCUUAGGACACUGGGAUUCUUUCCUGCUCCUAGGGCAUUCAAAGCUAAUGAGGCAAUCUUCAAGCAUGUAGGACACGCAUGAGUUGGAUCUCUCUUGGACAUGGAUUUCAUUGGAGAUUUGUUACAUACUUUAGUCGUGGUCACGUGAUUCACACUGGUGCUAGAGGCUAAGCUCCAGAGGGUGGAGUAGAAUGAUAUUUACACCAACAAGUUAGGCUUUGAUAAAGAAGGCAAGAUAUAAAGGAUGUGAGAAAGGAGGGACCAUUUUGAGCUAAAUGUGUUGGAAGGAGGGAGAUCAGUAAACGCAUCAUGAAGGGGGCAAAUGUAGCACCUCAACUGAUUCUUAAAAUAAAGGAAUGAUUUUACUUGGUGGUGCCAAAGAUGGACCACAAGCCAGGAAAGGAGAAUGGCCUCUUUCUAUGGAGAAGGUAGGACAAUAUCAUGGAGGAAGAAUAUAACUUGAAGAGUCUAAUUUGGUUAGAAUAUAGUGUAUGAAAGAGUAUGAUCUACAACUGGAAUGGUAAGCAGUAGCCAAGUUGUGUACAUUAAUGGCAGACUAAGGAGUUUACCUGCAUCUUAUCUCAUACGGAACUACUAAAGUUUCUGCGUUGGUCUUUUUUUGUCUGUUUUGUUUUCUAAAGCAGGUUAAGUGACAUGAUCGACCUGCAUAUUAAGAAAGGCAGCAAUCAGCACCACUGUGCUUUACAAAGUGCUUUCCUGACCACAGCUAUGAGGCAGGUAAACCAAGUAUUUUCCACAUUUUGCAGAUGAAGAAACGGGCUCAAAGAACUUAAAUGAGGUGUACAUAGUCACUAAGCUGAAAUUUGAAUCCGCACAUUCAGAUUCCAAAUAUGGCACUCGUUCCACUACACUACACAGCGGCAAACUAAAGGAUGUUGUUGGUUGUCCUUCAUUCUCGAAGAGAACCAUAACAUCAGGGAGGUGAUGCCACGACAUGCAAGGGAACUGGAUUUAAGUAAGGGAGGGCUAAGCAAAGUCACCAUUCUCACUCUCUUCUCCAGAGACAUCCAGGUCCAGUUGCCAGAUCUCAAUCAGGAGGACUGAAGAUGGCCCAGAAGGCAGUGGGAGACUUUCGACUUUUUAAGCUAACGUCUUUCCCAGGUCUUGUCUGACUGAGGCAAUGCCCGUUCACACUAAAGGAUGGACUCGAGUUGAAUGGGCAGCCUCACUCAAUGUCUUCCAGUAAAAGCUGGAGGAGUACCUGACAGGAUCAUGAUACAAAGACCAAAAUGGCAGUCCCUGUCCACAAGGUGCUCACGUUCCAUCACAGGAGACAACACGGACGUACAGAUGCACCACAAGUAUAUAAAAUAAGCAACUACAAGAUCACAGGAAGUUGGGAGGCGGAGGCAUUAACGCUAGGAAGAUCCCACCAGGUCUCAUAGAGAAAAUGAUCCUUGAGCUGAGCUCUGAAAGAAAUGAGGGCUUCUCGAGGGCAGAGGGGAGGAGGGAGGGCACUUUAAAUGCAAACAGAAUCUGUAUUUGACCCAGGAGCUCACAGGAAGCCAGGGUUUAAUGAGUUCACACCUGUGCUUUAGAACAUAACUUCACCAGCUUUCAGGAAGACGGGCUGGAGAAGGGAAGGUCUUAAAGCAGGAAGAACAAUUAAGAGUAUUUUGCAAAGUUUGAACUAGGUGAUAGUUGUGUGAGUGGAAAGAUGAGGUCAGAUGCUAUAAAUGUUUCAGGAAUAACCUUCCCUACUUGGGUUAGGUCAAGCAGUAGAUCACAUCUUCUGACCUUUAAAAAAAAACCCUUAGUCAUAACUUUCCACCAUUAAGCCAUUACCACCUUUCAGAAGUUCCAAUUGAGAAUGAUGUCUAGGUCAGUUUUAUUACAUUAUUUCCAAAAUAAAAAUGUCUUCAAGUGGAAUUUCCUUAAGACUUUCUGCAUCCCUUUUCAUACAUAUUUAAAUUUUGUACUAUAAUGUAUUGUCUUAUCAACGGUUCGUGUUCUAUUAAAUAUCACAAUCAUCAAAAAUUUAAUUUGAUUUGAAAUUAUUUACACUUUCAAGUCUGGGUUUUCAAAAAGUUUCCUUUCUUUUUCAUUCUGAUAGUCUCCUCGAUUCCUCAGUGACAGUUUUCCUCCAAUCCUAUAUAAUGGCCUGACAAUAACCUAGGUUCAUGAAGAAAGUAAGCAGAGUGUAAAUUCUGACGGGUCCUAACGUAUUGGAAAGGCUCAGGUGAUGGGCACAGUGACAAAUACUGUCUUCACAAGCAGCCAACAGGCUCACUGACAGCAGGCUGGGCAGCAGGUAACUAAGAUUUUUGGCCUCAGCAACUUCCAAAAGGUGGAAACUUGCAUUGGUGGAAGAAGUACUGACAUCAAUGAAAUAAUUACUGACUUUCUGAAAUAUGCAAAUAAUUCCCUGUUAUAGUUUCACUCAUAAUCCUUUUUCCUUAUUCCACUGUGCUUUGUGAAUGAGAAGAAGUUAAAAGGAUUUUGUUAUUUUUUUUCCUUACAUGGCAUCAUGAUCUGGGUUUCUAAAGCUUAUUUUUACGCACAACUCUCACAAGAAUUUUUCUAAAAUUGUAGCAAGUAGGUGUUAUGUCCCAAAGGGAAGCUGAAGCUCUAGACACUGAGUAAGUUGGAGUAGAAGCAGACCCAGGCAUUAUAAUUUCCUAACUUCUGAGAUCCUCAGUACUACAGAAAAGGAAGCACCUGUACCAGCUCAGGAAAAUCAAACUAAAACCCCAGCUUUUCGUCACCAUUUUAGUCUUGUGAUUAAAAAACAAAAACCCUUCAAAGUUCCAAAUAAACUAUGAGCAAAUGUUGAGAAAAGGGUGAUAUUUAUAAUUAUCCAUUUUAUUUUUAUUCACUAUAGCAACACUUUCAGGAAAGAGUCUUUACAUAAGGGUUUUUCUACUUUACAAGCAAAUUGCAAUAUACAGUAUAUAUCUGGAUGGAUUAAAAAAAAAGACAAAGGGGAAAACAAACACUGAAAGUAUCAAUGGUUGUUAUUUUUGUCUU